This 72-nucleotide transfer RNA is filed under the name virus sp. ctQmo6. Its description in RNAcentral is "tRNA-Gln". It matches the Rfam family "tRNA". Rfam says of the family: Transfer RNA (tRNA) molecules are approximately 80 nucleotides in length. The record is from RNAcentral.
UGGGGUAUCGCCAAAUGGUAAGGCAUGGGAUUUUGGCUCCCACACUUCCCGGUUCGAAUCCGGGUACCCUAG